This 28-nucleotide non-coding RNA is filed under the name Mus musculus (house mouse). The record is from RNAcentral. Lineage: Eukaryota; Metazoa; Chordata; Mammalia; Rodentia; Muridae.
UAUGAAGUGUGUCUUUUGUUUUGCUUUG